RNAcentral lists this ribosomal RNA (486 nucleotides) under uncultured bacterium. RNAcentral's name for it is "partial 16S ribosomal RNA". It matches the Rfam family "Bacterial small subunit ribosomal RNA", at positions 30 to 507 of the family's 1533-position model. The record is from RNAcentral.
AUUGAACGCUGGCGGCAUGCCUUACACAUGCAAGUCGAACGGCGGCACGGGUGCUUGCACCUGGUGGCGAGUGGCGAACGGGUGAGUAAUACAUCGGAACAUGUCCUGUAGUGGGGGAUAGCCCGGCGAAAGCCGGAUUAAUACCGCAUACGAUCUACGGCUGAAAGCGGGGGGCCUUCGGGCCUCGCGCUAUAGGGUUGGCCGAUGGCUGAUUAGCUAGUUGGUGGGGUAAAGGCCUACCAAGGCGACGAUCAGUAGCUGGUCUGAGAGGACGACCAGCCACACUGGGACUGAGACACGGCCCAGACUCCUACGGGAGGCAGCAGUGGGGAAUUUUGGACAAUGGGCGAAAGCCUGAUCCAGCAAUGCCGCGUGUGUGAAGAAGGCCUUCGGGUUGUAAAGCACUUUUGUCCGGAAAGAAAUCCUUGGCCCUAAUACGGUCGGGGGAUGACGGUACCGGAAGAAUAAGCACCGGCUAACUACGUG